This 32-nucleotide small RNA is filed under the name Bombyx mori (domestic silkworm). RNAcentral's name for it is "ovarian small RNA-27165". Lineage: Eukaryota; Metazoa; Arthropoda; Insecta; Lepidoptera; Bombycidae. The record is from RNAcentral.
UCCCAGGACCCCUCCUGUCUGAGGGCCUGACU